UAGUCUCAGUUCGGAUUGGAGUCUGCAACUCGACUCCAUGAAGCUGGAUUCGCUAGUAAUCGCGCAUCAGCCAUGGCGCGGUGAAUACGUUCCCGGGCCUUGUACACACCGCCCGUCAAGCCAUGGGAGUCGGGAGUGCCUGAAGUUCGUGACCGUAUAGGAGCGACCUAGGGCAAGACUGAUGACUGGGGCUAAGUCGUAACAAGGUAGC
RNAcentral lists this ribosomal RNA (211 nucleotides) under uncultured bacterium. Its description in RNAcentral is "partial 16S ribosomal RNA". It matches the Rfam family "Bacterial small subunit ribosomal RNA", at positions 1283 to 1500 of the family's 1533-position model. The record is from RNAcentral.